UUAAGCGACUAAGCGUACACGGUGGAUGCCCUGGCAGUCAGAGGCGAUGAAGGACGUGCUAAUCUGCGAUAAGCGUCGGUAAGGUGAUAUGAACCGUUAUAACCGGCGAUUUCCGAAUGGGGAAACCCAGUGUGUUUCGACACACUAUCAUUAACUGAAUCCAUAGGUUAAUGAGGCGAACCGGGGGAACUGAAACAUCUAAGUACCCCGAGGAAAAGAAAUCAACCGAGAUUCCCCCAGUAGCGGCGAGCGAACGGGGAGCAGCCCAGAGCCUGAAUCAGUGUGUGUGUUAGUGGAAGCGUCUGGAAAGGCGCGCGAUACAGGGUGACAGCCCCGUACACAAAAAUGCACAUGCUGUGAGCUCGAUGAGUAGGGCGGGACACGUGGUAUCCUGUCUGAAUAUGGGGGGACCAUCCUCCAAGGCUAAAUACUCCUGACUGACCGAUAGUGAACCAGUACCGUGAGGGAAAGGCGAAAAGAACCCCGGCGAGGGGAGUGAAAAAGAACCUGAAACCGUGUACGUACAAGCAGUGGGAGCACGCUUAGGCGUGUGACUGCGUACCUUUUGUAUAAUGGGUCAGCGACUUAUAUUCUGUAGCAAGGUUAACCGAAUAGGGGAGCCGAAGGGAAACCGAGUCUUAACUGGGCGUUAAGUUGCAGGGUAUAGACCCGAAACCCGGUGAUCUAGCCAUGGGCAGGUUGAAGGUUGGGUAACACUAACUGGAGGACCGAACCGACUAAUGUUGAAAAAUUAGCGGAUGACUUGUGGCUGGGGGUGAAAGGCCAAUCAAACCGGGAGAUAGCUGGUUCUCCCCGAAAGCUAUUUAGGUAGCGCCUCGUGAAUUCAUCUCCGGGGGUAGAGCACUGUUUCGGCAAGGGGGUCAUCCCGACUUACCAACCCGAUGCAAACUGCGAAUACCGGAGAAUGUUAUCACGGGAGACACACGGCGGGUGCUAACGUCCGUCGUGAAGAGGGAAACAACCCAGACCGCCAGCUAAGGUCCCAAAGUCAUGGUUAAGUGGGAAACGAUGUGGGAAGGCCCAGACAGCCAGGAUGUUGGCUUAGAAGCAGCCAUCAUUUAAAGAAAGCGUAAUAGCUCACUGGUCGAGUCGGCCUGCGCGGAAGAUGUAACGGGGCUAAACCAUGCACCGAAGCUGCGGCAGCGACACUAUGUGUUGUUGGGUAGGGGAGCGUUCUGUAAGCCUGUGAAGGUGUACUGUGAGGUAUGCUGGAGGUAUCAGAAGUGCGAAUGCUGACAUAAGUAACGAUAAAGCGGGUGAAAAGCCCGCUCGCCGGAAGACCAAGGGUUCCUGUCCAACGUUAAUCGGGGCAGGGUGAGUCGACCCCUAAGGCGAGGCCGAAAGGCGUAGUCGAUGGGAAACAGGUUAAUAUUCCUGUACUUGGUGUUACUGCGAAGGGGGGACGGAGAAGGCUAUGUUGGCCGGGCGACGGUUGUCCCGGUUUAAGCGUGUAGGCUGGUUUUCCAGGCAAAUCCGGAAAAUCAAGGCUGAGGCGUGAUGACGAGGCACUACGGUGCUGAAGCAACAAAUGCCCUGCUUCCAGGAAAAGCCUCUAAGCAUCAGGUAACAUCAAAUCGUACCCCAAACCGACACAGGUGGUCAGGUAGAGAAUACCAAGGCGCUUGAGAGAACUCGGGUGAAGGAACUAGGCAAAAUGGUGCCGUAACUUCGGGAGAAGGCACGCUGAUAUGUAGGUGAAGUCCCUUGCGGAUGGAGCUGAAAUCAGUCGAAGAUACCAGCUGGCUGCAACUGUUUAUUAAAAACACAGCACUGUGCAAACACGAAAGUGGACGUAUACGGUGUGACGCCUGCCCGGUGCCGGAAGGUUAAUUGAUGGGGUCAGCGCAAGCGAAGCUCUUGAUCGAAGCCCCGGUAAACGGCGGCCGUAACUAUAACGGUCCUAAGGUAGCGAAAUUCCUUGUCGGGUAAGUUCCGACCUGCACGAAUGGCGUAAUGAUGGCCAGGCUGUCUCCACCCGAGACUCAGUGAAAUUGAACUCGCUGUGAAGAUGCAGUGUACCCGCGGCAAGACGGAAAGACCCCGUGAACCUUUACUAUAGCUUGACACUGAACAUUGAGCCUUGAUGUGUAGGAUAGGUGGGAGGCUUUGAAGUGUGGACGCCAGUCUGCAUGGAGCCGACCUUGAAAUACCACCCUUUAAUGUUUGAUGUUCUAACGUGGACCCGUGAUCCGGGUUGCGGACAGUGUCUGGUGGGUAGUUUGACUGGGGCGGUCUCCUCCUAAAGAGUAACGGAGGAGCACGAAGGUUGGCUAAUCCUGGUCGGACAUCAGGAGGUUAGUGCAAUGGCAUAAGCCAGCUUGACUGCGAGCGUGACGGCGCGAGCAGGUGCGAAAGCAGGUCAUAGUGAUCCGGUGGUUCUGAAUGGAAGGGCCAUCGCUCAACGGAUAAAAGGUACUCCGGGGAUAACAGGCUGAUACCGCCCAAGAGUUCAUAUCGACGGCGGUGUUUGGCACCUCGAUGUCGGCUCAUCACAUCCUGGGGCUGAAGUAGGUCCCAAGGGUAUGGCUGUUCGCCAUUUAAAGUGGUACGCGAGCUGGGUUUAGAACGUCGUGAGACAGUUCGGUCCCUAUCUGCCGUGGGCGCUGGAGAACUGAGGGGGGCUGCUCCUAGUACGAGAGGACCGGAGUGGACGCAUCACUGGUGUUCGGGUUGUCAUGCCAAUGGCACUGCCCGGUAGCUAAAUGCGGAAGAGAUAAGUGCUGAAAGCAUCUAAGCACGAAACUUGCCCCGAGAUGAGUUCUCCCUGACCCUUUAAGGGUCCUGAAGGAACGUUGAAGACGACGACGUUGAUAGGCCGGGUGUGUAAGCGCAGCGAUGCGUUGAGCUAACCGGUACUAAUGAACCGUGAGGCUUAACCUU
Molecule: ribosomal RNA, 2901 nt
Filed under: Escherichia coli
Lineage: Bacteria; Pseudomonadati; Pseudomonadota; Gammaproteobacteria; Enterobacterales; Enterobacteriaceae
Description: 23S ribosomal RNA
Rfam family: Bacterial large subunit ribosomal RNA
Source: RNAcentral